RNAcentral lists this ribosomal RNA (253 nucleotides) under uncultured bacterium. RNAcentral's name for it is "partial 16S ribosomal RNA". It matches the Rfam family "Bacterial small subunit ribosomal RNA", at positions 524 to 776 of the family's 1533-position model. The record is from RNAcentral.
UACGUAGGUGACAAGCGUUGUCCGGAUUUACUGGGCGUAAAGAGCGCGCAGGCGGUCGAUCAAGUCGAGUGUGAAAGCCCCCGGCUCAACUGAGGAGGGUCAUUCGAUACUGAUCGACUCGAAGGCAGGAGAGGGUAGUGGAAUUCCCGGUGUAGUGGUGAAAUGCGUAGAUAUCGGGAGGAACACCAGUGGCGAAGGCGACUACCUGGCCUGUUCUUGACGCUGAGGCGCGAAAGCUAGGGGAGCAAACGGG